Molecule: long non-coding RNA, 4378 nt
Filed under: Brassica napus (rape)
Lineage: Eukaryota; Viridiplantae; Streptophyta; Magnoliopsida; Brassicales; Brassicaceae
Description: long non-coding RNA (BNAP_LNC002363)
Source: RNAcentral
AUGAACUCUCACCAGUCUGCUACUUUUGAGGCUAUCAUUUGUAAGUGUUAAAGUCACAAAUCGGUUAGGGUUUGGUAAGGUUGAAUCUCUACAUAUCUGAGGAAUGUUCUCGUCGACUCCUUGUGUUCCAUCACUGAUAGAUUCUGUUGGGCAGACACUGAGCAAAGGUGUUUCCCCGUUUCUUAUUAGUUUGAACUUAAAUAAGCUUCCUUCUUUCCGGCCGUUUUCUUCACAGAAAUUUCUCCAGCCUCGGGUUAUACAGAAUGUAUCAGACGAUUUGUUGAACCUCAGAUCCAACGCCCAUGAUCUUUCCCUUUCAUCUGUUAAAACAAUCUUGCGGCAUUUUCUUUUAAAACCAUUUGAGAUUGUGAAAUCUGGUGGAAGACACUGCAGAAUAAAUAGGUUCACGCAUUUCAUCAAGUUGUGCAAAACUUUGUUUAGUCUCAUUACUAAAAUAAUUUGACAAAAAUACAUAAUAAACCAAACCCAUGUUGUUGAGGUUAAUUUAUGAUUUUUUUUUGAAUAACAAUGAAAUGCACAAUUCUAGAAACAGCAGUUCAUCUGACAGGUAUGCAAAAACAAUUGAAGAAGUGUAUACACGCACCAGAGAAUCUUCUUCCAGAUUGGAAGCGGUAACAGGGGCCACAAAACAAGAGUUGUCGGACGAAGAAGAAUCAGCUUCUGCUUGGGAAUUGUUCUUCUUCACUUUCUUAUUUCCUGUUAAAACCUCGGAUUUUUUUUUUUAAUUUUGUAAACAUCCGACCAAGUAAUAAGCUCUGACAUAUGUAUAAAUAUUUGUGUCAUUACAAGAAAAAGAUUAGAAGAGAAGUGAAGUUACCGGUGUUGUCCUGACCAUCAUCAACUUCUUCUGUUGUUAUAGGAUGCUUCUUCCUCGAGAUGUAACCUGUUUAGAACAAGUAAACAAUCUCAGUUUUCCCUUCAAACUGGACUACAUUUAAAAAAAUAAUAAUAAUAAUAAAAUAAGUAAACAGAGGCAAACUUACCCAUGUUUGCCUGAUCCUCGUUGUUGGUGUGUGUGUCACAGGAAGUGGAUCCUGAACCAGAGAGCAUCUCUGUGUGGGGCUAAUACCUUCUUCUCCAGGCUUGUUCCUUGUUGAUGCUUCGAGAACAGGAAUCGGCUACAAGUAAAAAAAAAAAUGUAAGCUGUGAAAAAUUCUCAGAAGAGAAAAAGGUUAUCAGUUUUACCUCUUAGAGAGCGAAUGUUCGUAUGCAUUUCUGGAAAAUUCGAAAUCUCAGCGUUAAUUUGGGUGUUGCAACUUUUUGGUUCAAUAUCUCUCGGCUAACGUUCCAAUUUAAAAUCUCUCGAUUUGGGGAUUUGGAGAAGAAGAUUUGAUUGAGAAAUUGCUAACCUUUGAACACAGAUCGAUAAUAAGAGAAGAGAAGCUUCCUUCCGUUGAUAUUGAAGAAGGAAUGACACGUCGAGCUUUAUCUAUGCUCUUCACCAAGUGGGCCUAAUUUGGUUGGGCUUUAAACUCAUUCAGAUCUCAAAUUUCUUUUCAAACCCUUUGACAUUGCAAGUAACAGCAGUUAUUAAACUGACUUUUCAGUGGAGGAGACAAUCUAAAGAGCACAAUAAUCAUUUCUGUUCACGUUCAUUCAUCCCACUCUUUUUUUUUUUUUUUACUCAGCCUAAUAAAAUUUAUAUUAAGAAGAAAAAAAAAACUUUUUAGUUCCUUGGCAUUGUUUCAUUUUUCUACUACAAUAAAUCUUCUAUUGUUUACACAACUUGGCUCUCUAAAUCUAUUCUCCGAACUUAUGAAAUGACUCCAACUCGAAGUACCUAAAGAUAACAAGAAGAUUUUCACCAUGCACACGUAUAUGUAACAACAAACCAUUCAUCUCUUAACUACCCCGCCCACCAGUGUCUUUAACCAGUUGACCGAAACUCUGUAUCUUAUACUUUCAAAAACAAAACUCGGCGUGUUAAUGUUCACGACCACAAACCGAACUCUGCACACAUGAAACCAGUAGGCCAGUUUCAACAACGAUGCUAAUGCAGUGCCUCUUAUUUGAAUACAAAGACCCAUACAUUUGAAAACAUAAGCAAACAGUUUUCAUCAUUUUUUUCACCCGCCAAAGUGACCCACAGUACUUAUUUCUCAAACCAAAUAACAAUUAGCAAACUAAUCAGAGAAAGAAACCUACAGAUGUAGAUCCUUUUGAGGCCGCCAUAGAUAACAUUCGCAAAGGCGUUGGAGAGGAAAGAGGGAGAGAGAGGCUUCAGAACCCGGGCCGUAGAGCCACUCGGUCGCUUUCUCCUUUUCGGGUUUCAGCUUAUCCAUGGGAAGAACAAGAACAGAGAGAGGUACUACAAGGUCAUGAACAGAGAAAGGGCUCUUUCUCUUCUAUACCGUCUACAUCUUCAUCAACUUGCGUGUCUUGCAAGUUAUCUUCCUCAAAGAAAUGGAGGCUAAAGGACUUGCUUCUUUUCCGUAGCGCGUCAGAGGGAAGAGCAAGGCACAACAACAAAGAUUUCGUGAAGUCGUUAUCGGGUUUGUUCAGGAAACAAGAAGACAGCAAGAGCUCGAGCUCGAGCUCUAGAGGAAGAGGAUCACCGUCUGUCUCCUCCGCCCAUGAAUUCCAUUACAUGGCUAAAAAGGCAGAAGCAAAAGGUUUGAAGAAAAAGACUUUCUUGCCUUAUAUGCAAAUAGGAAGAUUCGCCUUCUAAAUUCUUUGAAGCGCAAACCCAAAAUGAUUAUAUUGUUUGCUUAAUUACAUGAUCUAAAGAACUGACUCAUUUCUACUCUCUUGCCUGGUUGAUGUGUUUCGGAAGCAAGUAUAAUGAACCAUAAUCAUUUGAGAUUAUUAUUUCUUGUGCAUAGUAUAGUAUAUUUGUCUAUUUGCAUUAGAGUGACUCACAUUGCAUAACAUCCCAAAAUCUAAGCCCAUACAAAAUUAAUUUUGUUAAAAGAGAAGUCUGAAAGGCCCAUUUAUAAAUACUAAUCAACUCUCUCUCUCUGUGUCUUCUAGAGAUGGUUUUCUUUGUUUUCAAAAAAGUCAGAGAAGACUUUUCUGUAAAUUUUCUAGGAUAAACAUGUUUGUUUUGCAUUUAAAAAAUAAAACUUAAAUAUAAUUUUAUCCGGAUGACUUCCAUGUAAUUUUUCCGGUAGACGACUUUGUGUUUGGCUCCGAGGGGUUAUGUUUACCUCGUCAGUUAAUAGCUCAGCAAAGGCUUUGUGUAUCUGACAGUUAAUUGAAUAAUAAUCUAACAGAUGAAAAAAGAAAAAAAAAUUCAACUCUAAAACAACUGUUAUUUUAUAAAUUUACCAAAGUGCUCGCUAGCGUCAUGAAUCAGUUUUGGACUGGUGAAGAUGCGUUACUCCUCUAUGUUUCCGAUAGUAGGUUCGGCGGAAACAUAUACUUUUUCCCUUUUGGACUCUCUACUGGAGAGACUGAGCAUAGGAGUUGCAUCUUCCCAAAUCGACUCCAACGUAAAGGAUUCACCAAUUUCUAAGCCAUUUCCUCUAGCAAAAUCUUUCCAGCCCUUUCCCAAACUCAUUCUUCCUUGGCUUUCUCGUAGAAGAUUUGUCAUCCACUUUGUACCAUCUUUUCCCAGCAAUGCUAUCGUUCCAGGUUCGUUCAUGCCGUUUUCCCUCAUGAAUGGCAAUGGAAGACCCUGGAAAAAAGAUUUAAACCAAUGAGAAUGCAAGUAACAGAACUAACUAAGAGUUGAUUGAUGAACUCACCAGUCUACUGUUUUUGAAGCUGUCUUGUGUAAGAGUUAAAGUCACAAAUCGGUUCUGGCUUCUGAAUUCCGUACUGAGCAAACUGAGCACAGGAGUUGCAUUUUCCCAGAUCAACUCCAAUGUGAAGGACUCGCCCAUGUUUAAUCCGUUUGCUCUAGCAAAAUCUUUCAAGCCCUUUCCUAAACUCAUUCUUCCUGAGUUUUCCCGUAGAAGAUUUGCCAGCAUCCUUGUACCAUCUUUCCCCAACAAAGUUACCAUACCCGGUUUGUCCAUGCCGUUUUCUUUCAAGAAUGGCAAUGGGAGAUACUAGACAAAUAAAUGAAGCGAGAAUUUAAAAAAAAAAAAAAGAUCAAACCAACAAGAUUUGUUUGUAUGAUGGAUGAACUCUCACCAGUCUGCUACUUUUGAGGCUAUCAUUUGUAAGUGUUAAAGUCACAAAUCGGUUAGGAUUUGGUAAGGUUGAAUCUCUACAUAUCUGAGGAAUGUUCUCGUCGACUCCUUGUGUUCCAUCACUGAUAGAUUCUGUUGGGCAGACACUGAGCAAAGGUGUUUCCCCGUUUCUCAUUAGUUUGAACUUAAAUAAGCUUCCUUCUUUCCGGCCGUUUUCUUCACAGAAAUUUCUCCAGCCUCGGGUUAUACAGAAUGUAUCAGACGAUUUGUUGAACCUCAGA